Long non-coding RNA from Cloeon dipterum, 701 nucleotides. RefSeq lists it as uncharacterized. The record is from RefSeq and is a predicted model, not a curated record. NCBI's taxonomy places the organism in Eukaryota, Metazoa, Arthropoda, Insecta, Ephemeroptera, Baetidae. The transcript has 3 exons.
UCAGCCCUUUGCCACUCCCACCUUCAAGGUUUGUUUUGUUUAUAAUUUCGCUCUGGACGAAUUCAAGCCCUGUUGAGGCCGCAAUGAGUCAGUGUCCGACGGCUUUUGGCGCUAUCAACGCGUUCCACGUGGACAAGAAGAGGCACCAUACUCCUUUUCCGGACAGGAAUCGGUCAAAAAAUAGGAUUUAACUCAAGAUGUUGGAUGGACUUUUCUUCGUCCGAAAACUAAAUUUCCGGUCCACGAGACGAGGAGGCUAAACCUGGAUACAAAAUGCAGCAAAAGGAAUUAAUUUCGCGACUACUCAGUCAUGGCUCUGACUCUGAAGUGUCCGGCGGCUUCGAGUGAGCAGCCAAAUAUCCACAAUCCGUGCCAUAACGUACAAGAAAAAGGUCCUUUAAGCGUCCAGCGUGAAUAUCCUCCUGUGGUUAUUUUGUGGCUGCACCGGCUUUUUUCCGCGCUUAUUGACCUAAAUUUCGACUUGGAGGGCCUUGAAAUGCAGAAACUGCACAAAAAGCACAAGAUAUUGAACAUUUUCUAUUAAAAGUCACUAAGCUCGUCGAAAAACCUGCCAAAACAAUAAUUUUGGAGGUGGAACAUUACUAAUGCCCGUAAAAUCGGUAUGAAAUAAAUGUGAGCCAAGUUUUAACUUUAUUAUUUAUUAUCUGCUCUUCAAUUUUACAAUAAAUUAAAUUGUUGAA